RNAcentral lists this ribosomal RNA (458 nucleotides) under uncultured bacterium. RNAcentral describes it as "partial 16S ribosomal RNA". It matches the Rfam family "Bacterial small subunit ribosomal RNA", at positions 338 to 795 of the family's 1533-position model. The record is from RNAcentral.
CCUACGGGUGGCAGCAGUGAGGAAUAUUGGUCAAUGGGCGAGAGCCUGAACCAGCCAAGUCGCGUGAGGGAGUACUGCCCUAUGGGUUGUACACCUCUUUUGUCGGGGAGCAAAAGCCGGACGUGUCCGGCUGUGAGAGUACCCGAAGAAAAAGCAUCGGCUAACUCCGUGCCAGCAGCCGCGGUAAAACGGAGGAUGCGAGCGUUAUCCGGAUUUAUUGGGUUUAAGGGGUGCGCAGGCGGACUGUUAAGUCAGCGGUGAAAUCGUGGGGCUAAACCCCAUCCAGCCGUUGAACCUGGGGAUAUAGAGUGUGCGGGAGGUAUGCGGAAUUCGUGGUGUAGCGGUGAAAUGCAUAGAUAUCACGCAGAACCCCGAUUGCGAAGGCAGCAUACCGUUGCACAACUGACGCUCAGGCACGAAAGCGUGGGUAUCGAACAGGAUUAGAUACCCUAGUAGUC